AAAUAACUAGUCUCAAGAAAUUUAAGUAUGAUAUUUAAGGAAAUAAUUCUGGUAGACAAAUAUGCAUGCAUGGAUAUUUGUACAUAUGUAUGUAUAUGUAUGUAUGUAUUAUUUAUAUUUUAUUUGUUUGGUAUAUUUAAAAAGGAUAGGCUCCAAAAAUAAAAUUUGAAAAAGAUAUGGUAUACUUCUCAGCGGACACCGGUCUAGAUAAGUUCUAAGGAAGGACAAACUCCAUAUCCUCAUAAUUACUUUUAUUUUCUUUUUUGAAGAAAUUACUUUUCACUGUACUGUAAGGGCAUCAAUUUUUCUUCUAAAUUAACUUGAGCAUUUGGAUUCCAAAAAAAAUUAUCUAUAUAAAAGAUUUAAGACUACAAAAGGAAGUUGAAUUUUAAUGUUUUUCAAUUUUAAAUGCUAGGUCUUAAUAUGUAAGGUGCACUGGAAGAGUAAAAAUAAAAAAAUAAAAAAGCUUAGCUUUUGGAAUCUUUUGGAACGCAGGGAAUUCUAGGAAUCCCAUUGUAAUAGUAAAAAUUGUAGAUAGAGCUAUUUUAACAAGCCCAAACAUCACCACUUCUAUCUUUAUUGAUCCCAAAAGGCCAAAACUAAACCAAUUGUUGCUCUCAACGCGGAC
This 628-nucleotide long non-coding RNA is filed under the name Elaeis guineensis (African oil palm). Its description in RNAcentral is "long non-coding RNA (EGUI_LNC026578)". The record is from RNAcentral. Lineage: Eukaryota; Viridiplantae; Streptophyta; Magnoliopsida; Arecales; Arecaceae.